Molecule: long non-coding RNA, 420 nt
Organism: Oncorhynchus tshawytscha (Chinook salmon)
Lineage: Eukaryota; Metazoa; Chordata; Actinopteri; Salmoniformes; Salmonidae
Source: Ensembl
AAAAACCCUGGCCUUGAGAGGUGACAAAACCCUGGCCUUGAGAGGUGACAAAACCCUGGCCUUGAGAGGUGACAAAACCCUGGCCUUGUGAGGCGACAAAACCCUGGCCUUGAGAGGCAACAAAACCCUGGCCUUGAGGCGACAAAACCCUGGCCUUGAGGCGACAAAUCCCUGGCCUUGAGGCGACAAAUCCCUGGCCUUGAGAGGAGACAAAACCCUGGCCUUGAGGCGACAAAACCCUGGCCUUCAGAGGCAACAAAACCCUGGCCUUGAGAGGCGACAAAACCCUGGCCUUGAGAGGCGACAAAACCCUGGCCUUGAGAGGCUACAAAACCCUGGCCUUGAGAGGCUACAAAACUCUUGCCUUGAGAGGAGACAAAACCCUGGCCUUGAGAGGAGACAAAACCCUGGCCUUGCGAG